UACGUAGGGGGCUAGCGUUGUCCGGAAUCAUUGGGCGUAAAGCGCGUGUAGGCGGCCCGGUAAGUCCGCUGUGAAAGUCGGGGGCUCAACCCUCGGAUGCCGGUGGAUACUGUCGGGCUCGAGUACGGAAGAGGCGAGUGGAAUUCCUGGUGUAGCGGUGAAAUGCGCAGAUAUCAGGAGGAACACCAAUAGCGAAGGCAGCUCGCUGGGACGUUACUGACACUGAGGCGCGAAAGCGUGGGGGGCGAACAGG
This 253-nucleotide ribosomal RNA is filed under the name uncultured bacterium. Its description in RNAcentral is "partial 16S ribosomal RNA". It matches the Rfam family "Bacterial small subunit ribosomal RNA", at positions 524 to 776 of the family's 1533-position model. The record is from RNAcentral.